CUUCGUUCCUAACAACGAUGAUGAGAUGGUGAUUUUCCAUGUCCCGUUCAGCGUCUGGAUCGGCUGUGAAUACGAUAACUUGACUCAUUAUUUUAAAUGUGUAGAUGGUACUCGGAUAGAUUUCAACAGUCAUUGGUGGUCUAAUGGCAAUACCUACGUAUCGCUACAUGGGCGAAGUCCACAAUUUGCAAUUUGCGUAUACACCUUUAACGGUAAAUUAUCUGAUGCCAUAUGUUCAGUGGGAUAUCAAGCUACAAAGUGCGAAGCCGAACCUCUCCCGGACCCUCAACAACAGAAGGAUCGUCGCACGUCCAGCAUCUUUGCACCAGAUACAGAUCGAGAGAGUCGUGCUCUCAUUGGCUAUUGUAGCAAUGAUCACGUGGUAAAGCUGGCGCCAUUAGGAGGAAAGCCACGCUACGCUGUAGUUUGCAAUAAUAAAUGUUACUAGACCGUCAAAAUUCGUUUUUAGAGCAGAUACUUACGUCUGAGGAUGUUUUGAGUAAUACAAUAAUUAAAGAUAUACAAAUAAAUACUGAUUGUAAUAAGUCGAUGUAUAAAAUGCACACGAUGCGAGGUUCUGUCAUUUUACCUCUGCCAUUUCCUAUUUUAACCUGGCACCCUAAAUGUUAAAAUUAAGGGGUGAUUUUAUUUGCAAAAAAGUGAGAUAUUGUAUGUAUGCGAAACCACGCAAAAAUCAUUUCCACGGAAAAAAGAUUCCUCAAUAAAUUAAUUCUUAUUCCUUUUCUUCUCGGGUUUCAAGAUUAUUAGAGUAUCCCGAAGGGUGCCCCCUGUCUGCACCGGAGAGACAGGACGAUGCCUGGACGGUGUCGAAAAAGGGAC
Long non-coding RNA from Lytechinus pictus (painted urchin), 840 nucleotides. RefSeq lists it as uncharacterized. The transcript has 3 exons. Lineage: Eukaryota; Metazoa; Echinodermata; Echinoidea; Temnopleuroida; Toxopneustidae. The record is from RefSeq and is a predicted model, not a curated record.